This 401-nucleotide ribosomal RNA is filed under the name uncultured bacterium. RNAcentral describes it as "partial 16S ribosomal RNA". It matches the Rfam family "Bacterial small subunit ribosomal RNA", at positions 28 to 526 of the family's 1533-position model. The record is from RNAcentral.
GACGAACGCUGGCGGCGCCUAAUACAUGCAAGUCGAACGCAGUGGGGACGGGUGAGUAACACGUGGGUAACCUCCCAUCAGAGGGGAUAACACUUGGCAACAGGUGCUAAAACGAUACUGCUGGAUGGACCCGCGGUGCAUUAGCGAGUUGGUGAGAUAACGGCUCACCAAGGCCACGAUGCAUAGCCGACAUGACAGGGGUACCGGCCACGCUGGGACUGGGACACGGCCCAUAUUCCUACGGGAGGCAGCAGUAGUGAAUCUUCGGCAAUGGACGAAAGUCUGAACGAGCAACGCCGCGUGAGUGAAGAAGGUUUUCGGAUCGUAAAACUCUGUUGUUAGAGAAGCGGUAUCUAACCAGAAAGCCACGGCUAACUACGUGCCAGCAGCCGCGGUAAUAC